CAGUGCCAUCCCAUGAAGUUCAAUUACGGACGCCUGAUAUGUCACUCCAGCAAAAGAGCCAAUAUCCGGCCCAGGCUGUAUGUGCUUAAUGAUAGAGACAUCAUUCUCUUCAUUGCUACAAAAGACAUUUUGAGUGAUGAGGAGUUACUCUAUAAUUAUGGCUCAAAGAGGAGAUCUUUUGUCGGGAAAGGGCUGGAAUUGGACUGGAUGUGAAAGAACAUCUUUCCAUCCCCCAUUCUCACUCACUUCUAACAUGUCCAACUCCAAGUUUCCACCUGUGGCUAUAUUCUCUCCUCACUCUCUGGACUCUGGACAACCAUCACUGCUCUUCUCACCCUGAAGGAUUCUUCCUGCAAUGUCAAGCACCAACACUUCUCUCUAAGUAGAGACUUGGUUGUAAUAGGCUGAAUGAGUGGGUCUUACAAACCAUUCACCUUUACUUCCAGAGAACUGUAUUUUCUCUUACUGACUUGUCUUUUUUCACUCUUUUUUUUCUCAUAAGCUUCCUUUAUGCAAUAGUGAGAGUGUGAGUAGGCUACUCCAUAUUCUCUCCUCUCUCUCUGGAUUCUUUGCAACACAUGUGGAAUUACAGCCUGAUACCAGAAAGAGGAACGUCUGGUUGCUGAAUGGUCAAACUGUCAAGGCGACACCAUAUAAAUCAAGAGGGUUGGGAUUAGAUAAUGUGCGAAAGACAGUAUAAAAGCAUGAAGGAGAGCCUUAAAAAGAGCUGAACUGAGGUUACAUCUCUUCUGCGCAGAACUUGUACUCUCUAACUUCUUGCAUUCAAAAUAAAACUUCUUAAUUUUCAA
Molecule: long non-coding RNA, 809 nt
Organism: Danio aesculapii
Lineage: Eukaryota; Metazoa; Chordata; Actinopteri; Cypriniformes; Danionidae
Exons: 2
Source: RefSeq, a predicted model, not a curated record